GCCGAUCUUCUCCGGUCGCGAAGAAGGAGGGUAACUCUUUCCUUAUCUUGACUAUUGUAUGUGUUAUGUGUGAUUACCUGGCUCAGUAGGUGAGUAUCUGAUUUUCUGUGUGAAUAUCUGGUUCUGUGUGUGAAUAUUUGGUUUUGCCUGUGAAUAUCUUGUGUGAUUAUGGCUUCCAAUACCAUUGUGUGUGGAUAUUUGAUUUUACCUGUGAAUAACUGGUGUGAUUAUGGCUUCCAAUACCAAUACUAGUGCUUCUACUUCGAUAGAUUCUACCAGUCCCCUCUUUGUAUAUUCUUCUGAUGUCCCUGGUGUGUCCCUAGNNNNNNNNNNNNNNCCGGUACUGGUUAUGGGGGCUGGAGACGUAAAAUGAUUGUUGCCUUAUAUGCUAAAAAUAAAAUCGGAUUUGUUGACGGUUCAUGUCCUCGUCCUAACAAUAAUGUGGCUCAACAGAGAUUGUGGGAUAGGUGUAAUAACAUGGUCAUCUCUUGGUUGACCUCCUCUCUGUCUCCACAAAUUGCUGAUACUGUGCAGUAUUCCGAUACUGCACAGAGUAUCUGGUCCCAAAUUGAGAAAAGAUAUGGUACCCCUAACAAGACCAAUAUCUUUGAAUUAAAGAGGGAACUCUCACAUAUAUCCCAAGGCUCCUUAGAUAUAGCCUCUUACUUCGACAAGCUCAAAGGCUUGUGGGAUGAAUUGGGCAUUAUGUGCACAAAUCAUGGGCAUAGAUGUGUGUGUGCUGCCAAAAAUGUGAUAAUUGAGGAAGAUGAUGAAAACAAGGUUUUUCAGUUUCUUAUGGGGUUGAAUGAAGUGUAUAUGGGGGUUAGGAGCAAUUUGUUGAUGAUGCAGCCAUUUCCUUGCUAGUUUCACCAUCGAAGUGUAUAUGGGGGUUAGGAGCAAUUUGUUGAUGAUGCAGCCAUUUCCUUCCCUUGACAGUGUUUACAAUAGCUUGAUGAUGAGAAACAAAGACAAGUUCAAUCUACUUCUCAUAUUAGUCCAGAUUCUAUGUCUUUCAAUACUCAUGUAAAUAAGCACUCAGUUGGGUCUCAUCAGGCCACAGUGCCUCGACCUCCCAUUAUUUUCAGACCAGAAUUAAUUUUGAGCAAAACAGAGGGCCCCUAUUCUGCAGAUAUUGCAAGAAAUCUGGGCACUUAAUUGAUAAGUGCUACAAGAUACAUGGGUUCCCUCAAAGCAUUAAUUACAACANN
This 1208-nucleotide long non-coding RNA is filed under the name Nicotiana benthamiana. RNAcentral's name for it is "long non-coding RNA (NBEN_LNC018692)". The record is from RNAcentral. Lineage: Eukaryota; Viridiplantae; Streptophyta; Magnoliopsida; Solanales; Solanaceae.